AUUUCAGCGCUUCGGAACCUUGGCACUUCGGACAUUUGUAAGUAUCCGAAUGUCCGUAUGGCAUGAGAUUCGUACGAAUGUACAUUCGGAACGAAACUAAUUGCACAUAUCUAAUCUGAAUUAUACUCCCCAUGACAAAAGCCUCUUCCUACUUUAUUUUAUGUAUAACUAAUAGCCUAAGGGGAUUUAAAAAUAAAAAAUAAAAGCAAGACAAAAU
This is a non-coding RNA of Pelobates cultripes (western spadefoot toad), 217 nucleotides long. NCBI's taxonomy places the organism in Eukaryota, Metazoa, Chordata, Amphibia, Anura, Pelobatidae. The record is from the annotation of a GenBank genome assembly.